GAUGAACGCUGGCGGCGUGCCUAACACAUGCAAGUCGAGCGAUCUUCUUUGGAAGAGAGCGGCGGACGGGUGAGUAACGCGUGGGUAACCUGCCCUGUACACACGGAUAACAUACCGAAAGGUAUGCUAAUACGGGAUGAUAUAUGAAAGUCGCAUGGCUUUUAUAUCAAAGCUCCGGCGGUACAGGAUGGAUCCGCGUCUGAUUAGCUAGUUGGUAAGGUAACGGCUUACCAAGGCGACGAUCAGUAGCCGACCUGAGAGGGUGAUCGGCCACACUGGAACUGAGACACGGUCCAGACUCCUACGGGAGGCAGCAGUGGGGAAUAUUGCACAAUGGGCGAAAGCCUGAUGCAGCAACGCCGCGUGAGCGAUGAAGGCCUUCGGGUCGUAAAGCUCUGUCCUCAAGGAAGAUAAUGACGGUACUUGAGGAGGAAGCCCCGGCUAACUACGUGCCAGCAGCCGCGGUAAUACGUAGGGGGCUAGCGUUAUCCGGAAUUACUGGGCGUAAAGGGUGCGUAGGCGGUCUUUCAAGCCAGAAGUGAAAGGCUACGGCUCAACCGUAGUAAGCUUUUGGAACUGUAGGACUUGAGUGCAGGAGAGGAGAGUAGAAUUCCUAGUGUAGCGGUGAAAUGCGUAGAUAUUAGGAGGAAUACCAGUAGCGAAGGCGGCUCUCUGGACUGUAACUGACGCUGAGGCACGAAAGCGUGGGGAGCAAACAGG
Molecule: ribosomal RNA, 720 nt
Filed under: uncultured bacterium
Lineage: Bacteria
Description: bacterial SSU rRNA
Rfam family: Bacterial small subunit ribosomal RNA
Source: RNAcentral